This is a long non-coding RNA of Juglans microcarpa x Juglans regia, 1484 nucleotides long. RefSeq lists it as uncharacterized. The transcript has 2 exons. NCBI's taxonomy places the organism in Eukaryota, Viridiplantae, Streptophyta, Magnoliopsida, Fagales, Juglandaceae. The record is from RefSeq and is a predicted model, not a curated record.
CCAUGCAUCAAAUGAGAAGCAAAAACAAUGCAAGUCCUGAUUCCCCCCCCCCCCCCCCCCCAUAAUUGUAAGGUGAGGUUACCAUUCAUCUCUUAAAAGCCUGAUAAGACACUCUUCCAUUGUAUAGGCUUUGAACCUCUGGACCUGAUUUAUUUCCUUGUUUAAACUUGAUUUUCUGUGCCUGUGAAAUAAUAAUGGAACGCUUUGUUUUCAUGUACUAAGAUUGAAGAACCUUUGGUCCCCCCAAAUCAACUUCCACAUAGAAAUGUUAAAUAGAAAGGCAGCAUAAUUAUUGUUAUUUUCAGGGAUGCAUUUGAUCAGCCUGAGCAAGAUAUUCCUCGUGCCAUUAAUGUCACCCCGGCUGAACAGGAGGCCAUUGAUAGAGUAUGUGUUCAUUCUACAACUAGAGGCAAUGGGUUUUGAUAGAGCCCUGGUCAUAGAGGCCUUUUUGGCAUGUGAUCACAAUGAGGAAUUUGCAGCCAACUACUUGCUGGAGAAUGCUGGAGAUUUUGAGGAUUGAAUGUUGCUCCAUUGGCUUCGUAGUUUCAGUUCCUUGGUGUCAUAGUGAUAUAAUUUUCUUUACUUGUGUAGUGUUCAGAUUAAAUCAUGCGCUUUAUUAAUGAAUUACGGAAAUUAAUUUGUGAAACUGAUCUCUAUAUGAGUAUAGGGUAGGGCAAAAGUAUAAGCUUUACAAUAAUUUCCCCAACUUAAUUUUUUCAUGGGAAAACUUCAUCUAAUAGUAAUAGUUUUUCAACUAGUAGUUUCUGUGAAGAGUGAAUUUUAGAACAAUACCAUAUCAUCAUCCUUCCCGUUCCUAUACCACCACCAUACUCCACCAUUUUCCAGUUUAUGUUUAUCUGGCAACCUCGGUGGCCGUAAUAGAUCGACUUUCCUGCUAAAUGAUGCGGAGAGGGGGUGGGUGCACAGAAGUGUAAACAUAGCAAUGACCCUCUAAUUACUAAAGUAUAACCCGAUAGGUUGCAUCUCCUAUGUUUGUACCCAUUUUGUUUUUGUAAUGGAAGGUGCUCAGCACUCAGUAUCUCAUAAACCCUAUACUUUCAAAGCCAAUCUUUUAGAUUUUCGCUUUCAGGCAAGAUAGAUCCUGUUCUUAGUUUUUGUUGAACGUGUUUAAUAAUAGCGGUUUGAUGCAUUUGUGUCAUGGGCAGGAGAUUCGUAUUGGCACAGACGAUGUGGUGAUGGAGUAAAUUGGAGGAUGAUUUUCUUUUCUUUUCUAGAGAGUUGGUUCACGUUAGUUAAUGGUUAGCUGAGAUAGAUUGCAAAGGAGAUUUUUGUCACAAAAACUUAUCAAAGUUUUUAUUUAUUUUUUAGUAAUGCUAGAGAGAAGCCAUUGUAGCAGUGCAUACUUUGCACUCACUGCAUGGUUGCUUCUAGUUAAUUGUUCUUAACACUCACUUGGGGAGAUGUGUAGUCUAGAUGAUGUCACAUCAUGUGUGCAAAAUGGAUGCUCUCAAUAGUGGCUUCUA